This 464-nucleotide ribosomal RNA is filed under the name uncultured bacterium. RNAcentral's name for it is "bacterial SSU rRNA". It matches the Rfam family "Bacterial small subunit ribosomal RNA", at positions 338 to 795 of the family's 1533-position model. The record is from RNAcentral.
CCUACGGGGGGCACCAGUGGGGAAUCUUGCGCAAUGGGCGAAAGCCUGACGCAGCGACGCCGCGUGGGGGAAGAAGGCCUUAGGGUUGUAAACCUCUUUCAGCAGGGACGAAGCCACUCGGGUUAAUAGCCCAGAGGGUGACGGUACCUACAGAAGAAGCCCCGGCUAACUACGUGCCAGCAGCCGCGGUAAUACGUAGGGGGCAAGCGUUGUCCGGAUUUAUUGGGCGUAAAGAGCGUGUAGGCGGCCGCACAGGUCCGUUGUGAAAACUGGAGGCUCAACCUUCAGACGUCGAUGGAAACCGUGCGGCUAGAGUCCGGAAGAGGAGAGUGGAAUUCCUGGUGUAGCGGUGAAAUGCGCAGAUAUCAGGAAGAACACCCGUGGCGAAGGCGGCUCUCUGGGACGGUACUGACGCUGAGACGCGAAAGCGCGGGGAGCAAACAGGAUUAGAUACCCGCGUAGUC